UAUUUUCGAUGUGGCCGGUCUGCCUAUCAGUCAGCCCGCAAUAAAGCUCGCAAGACAGUGAGGUGUUAAUUGAGGGCCGACCAACAACCGACACCAUGGUGGACGUCGAGGAAGACGGCUUCGAGAGCGAAAUUCGCCGCAAGGUGACCAGGAAAACCUUCACCAUCGAGGAGAAAUCGUCGACAACCAAAACCAUGACUUCAAGUAGUAAGGCUGCCUUGCAAAGAAUGGACACCAAAGAGAUGGCUGAGUACAACGAGAUGGACAUGGACGAGCUGCUCGCCCAGUUGUCGUCUGAGGAGAUCAACAUGUUGUCUCGGGAAGUCGAUCCUGAUGACAACACAAUGCCUCCGUCAUUGAGGUGUGGAUACUUUUGUGAAAAAGAGCCCACCGGUCCCUUGGACAGACACAAGUUGAUCGACCACAUCAACAAACAGGCAUUGGAAACGCCCGACAAACCAGAAGCUCAGCCAUUUGUUGCUGGCACAGUUCGAGGAAAGAAGUGGGUGGCACCAAAGUGCGAGAAAACAGCCGAACUCGAGGAGCAAAUUGGCAUUGACUUGGGUGAUGAGUACGAAACUGCUCUCAGUGGCGCGUCUCAGGAGGAGAUCAUCGAUUUGGCCGCUAUCCUCGGCUUCCACUCGAUGAUGAACCAAGACCAGUACCACGCAUCACUCCUAAACAAGGGUCAGCCAGUUGGUAUGGGUUGGGACGGCGUCACAAAGGCCUCGCAGCCAAAAGCAUUCCCCAACGAGCCACCCAACCUCACUAACCCUGAUGAAACCAUCAAGAGGGUGAAGGAAGAUGACCACACCCUCAAGGACGUUAACUGGAAUAACAUUAAGAACAUUUCUGAUGAAAAGUUCACGCAGCUGUUUGAGGCGUUGGCCUCUAACACCCAUUUGGAAAGCCUCAGCCUGACCAACACGGGCCUGAUGGACCGCACUGCCCUCUUGUUGGCUGACGCGCUUGAGAAAAACAGCACAUUGCGUGUGCUCAACGUUGAGACCAAUUUCAUCAGCCCGGCUGUGAUGGUCACCCUUCUCAAAGCACUACUAGCCACUAAGUCUGUGGAAGAAUUCCGUGGUACUAACCAGAGAUCCCAAGUGCUUGGAAAUAAAAUUGAAAUGCAGAUUACGGAGAUUGUGGAACAGAACUUCUCUCUGUUGCGAUUGGGACUCCACUUGGAGUACAAUGACGCACGCCACAGGGUUGCAGCUCACCUUCAAAGAAACCUUGACCGUAUUGCCAAGGAAAGAUCAGCUGGCUGGGCAGGAAAGGGCAUCAUUGUUUCUGCUUGAAUUCAAGUUGCAGACUCUCAGCUGGUCCAAUACAGAUCCGCCUGACACGCGUGGGGGCAGCAAGCUCGUAGUGCGAUGAACACUCACCGACUGCGACGCACUGGUCGUCUGUCUCGUAACCUCCUCAUCGGUUAUCUGACUUCAAAGAAGUCGUUUGAAAAUUAGCCUAUAUUCGCCAACCUAUGAAAAUUACUCCCAACGCCACUCAUAUAUAAAAAAGUUAGUCGCUUGCUUGUUGAUUGGAGCAAACUAUCAAAAAGAAAAAGUGCAUUCGCUUCGCUGGAAGGAAACAAACUUCUUCCGCCGCUGGAAAGCUUCGUAGUUGUUCAUCUUAAAAAAUCCCUAGCCUUAGACAAACAUAAAAGCCAAGCAAGAAAAAAAUGGAGGUUAAAUUGAGAUAUGAUGCUUUGAUUGGAUCAGUGUCGCGCUGCUGAGAAAGAGAGUGAAGACGCGCGUCUGCCUCCGCUCUUCUUUGUGCUUGUUGUACAACACUACACUUUACCUGACUCACUGCCCGCAUUGAUUCAGAACGCUGAAUUUAAGAAAAAAAAAUGCACUGUCGGUAUUCAAGAAUUGAGUGUCAAAAAGAGUGUUUCUCACAGAUUUUUAUUUUGUUAAAAAGAGCUGAAUGCGAAAAAAUCGGAAAAGUAAGAAAGAGUGCGCGCGAGCCCAGUCACUGAUGUUUUCAUGUUAAGUGGCCGAAGAUGGAUUUUGUCGAACACCUGCAUUUAUAAAUUCCCCUAGUCGGAGAACGAAGAAGAACGCGAGCGAGCCAUUUACCGUGAAAACUUCAUUCUGUUAUUAUUCAGUAUGUGAUGCAAAAAUGUUUGGUGGACCUUGUACUAUCAUAGGAGUUUUCUGAGUUGGAAAUUUUAUUUAUUCACUGGCGUAGAGAGCAAAUGUUUACAUAUUUAUGAGUCCAUUUUUAUGUAAUUUUUACUUGCGAACACACGCUCUCGAUUUAUGAUUUAUAUUUAUCCCGAAAAUGUCUAUAGUCGUGUAGGACUUUUCUGUCCAAGAUAUUUUAUUUGAAAAAUAUUCAGUUUUUUUUUCGGUAAAAGUGACGUUGAACAAAAGAUAUGUAUGCGUAAAUAAAUUAUUAGUUUUAACAGGCACAGGACUGUUUACCCUGAAAUCGGUGGCUGCUGUAAAUUUUUGAUUAUAUAUACGUCCUUGUAUGUAUUUUAAUUACCUGUGUAUUAAGUUGUAAGAAGAUGAAAAAGUGCUAUUAUUUGAUUUAAAGAAGAAAAAAGUCUCAGCUCCAUUACUCCUUUUGUGUGAAUGGAAAAUUUAAUUGGAGAAACUCGUCCCUUUUAAUAAAUUACUGAAUACAGUUUAAGUACGUCAAGAUAAAUUUAAUUAUGUCAUGGGAAAUGCACAACAUUUUGUCAGAAGUGAACAAAUUCAAAUAUAAGAGGUCACCUCAAAUGAA
This is an RNA transcript of Neocloeon triangulifer, 2733 nucleotides long. It is a transcript of the gene named tropomodulin, with no coding region annotated. Lineage: Eukaryota; Metazoa; Arthropoda; Insecta; Ephemeroptera; Baetidae. The record is from RefSeq and is a predicted model, not a curated record. The transcript has 11 exons.